Molecule: transfer RNA, 141 nt
Filed under: Lachnellula occidentalis
Lineage: Eukaryota; Fungi; Ascomycota; Leotiomycetes; Helotiales; Lachnaceae
Rfam family: tRNA
About the family: Transfer RNA (tRNA) molecules are approximately 80 nucleotides in length. Their secondary structure includes four short double-helical elements and three loops (D, anti-codon, and T loops).
Source: Rfam by way of RNAcentral
GCUUGGUUGGUGUAGUGGUAAGCACAUCUGUCUCACAAGGAGUCAGGGGCCUGCGGGAAAAAAAGAUGCAAGAGCAUCUUCGCGGGAACCUAGAUGUUCUUUGAUCACAGGGGAUCGUGAGUUCGAACCUCACACUGAGCA